This 484-nucleotide ribosomal RNA is filed under the name uncultured bacterium. RNAcentral describes it as "partial 16S ribosomal RNA". It matches the Rfam family "Bacterial small subunit ribosomal RNA", at positions 30 to 507 of the family's 1533-position model. The record is from RNAcentral.
AUUGAACGCUGGCGGCAGGCCUAACACAUGCAAGUCGAGCGGAUGAAGGGAGCUUGCUCCUGGAUUCAGCGGCGGACGGGUGAGUAAUGCCUAGGAAUCUGCCUGGUAGUGGGGGAUAACGUCCGGAAACGGGCGCUAAUACCGCAUACGUCCUGAGGGAGCAAGUGGGGGAUCUUCGGACCUCACGCUAUCAGAUGAGCCUAGGUCGGAUUAGCUAGUUGGUGGGGUAAAGGCCUACCAAGGCGACGAUCCGUAACUUGUCUGAGAGGAUGAUCAGUCACACGGGAACUGAGACAGGGACCAGACUCCUACGGGAGGCCACAGUGGGGAAUAUUGGACAAUGGGCGAAAGCCUGAUCCAGCCAUGCCGCGUGUGUGAAGAAGGUCUUCGGAUUGUAGAGCACUUUAAGUUGGGAGGAAGGGCAGUAAGUUAAUACCUUGCUGUUUUGACGUUACCAGCAGAAUAAGCACCGGCUAACUUCGUG